UACAGAGGUCCCAAGCGUUGUUCGGAUUUAUUGGGCGUAAAGGGUGCGCAGGCGGCCAAGUGUGUGAGGCGUGAAAGCCUGGGGCUUAACUCCAGAAUUGCACCUCAAACUACAUGGCUAGAGCAUUGGAGAGGGUAGCAGAAUUCACGGUGUAGCAGUGAAAUGCGUAGAUAUCGUGAGGAAUACCAGAGGCGAAGGCGGCUACCUGGACAAUUGCUGACGCUCAGGCACGAAAGCGUGGGGAGCAAAAGGG
This 253-nucleotide ribosomal RNA is filed under the name uncultured bacterium. Its description in RNAcentral is "partial 16S ribosomal RNA". It matches the Rfam family "Bacterial small subunit ribosomal RNA", at positions 524 to 776 of the family's 1533-position model. The record is from RNAcentral.